AUUAACGCUAGCGGCAGGCAUAAUACAUGCAAGUUGAACGGCAGCACAGGUAGCAAUACUGGGUGGCGAGUGGCGCACGGGUGCGUAACACGUAUGCAACCUACCCUAUACAGGCGAAUAACCUUUAGAAAUGAGGGCUAAUACGCCGUAGUAUUACAGAUGGGCAUCUAUUUGUAAUUAAAGAGGUUUAUCGGUAUAGGAUGGGCAUGCGUCCCAUUAGUUAGUUGGUAAGGUAACGGCUUACCAAGACGAUGAUGGG
Molecule: ribosomal RNA, 259 nt
Filed under: uncultured bacterium
Lineage: Bacteria
Description: partial 16S ribosomal RNA
Rfam family: Bacterial small subunit ribosomal RNA
Source: RNAcentral